RNAcentral lists this unclassified non-coding RNA (356 nucleotides) under uncultured Lactarius. RNAcentral describes it as "sequence contains ITS2". Lineage: Eukaryota; Fungi; Basidiomycota; Agaricomycetes; Russulales; Russulaceae. The record is from RNAcentral.
AACGCACCUUGCGCCCCCUGGUAUUCCGAGGGGCACACCCGUUUGAGUGUCGUGAAAACCUCAACCUCCUUGGUUUCUUCUGGAGACCAAAGCAGGCUUGGACUUUGGAGGCCUUUGCUGGCACCUCUCGCCAGCUCCUCUUAAAUGAAUUAGCAGGGUCCUCUUUGCUGAUCCUCGACGUGUGAUAAGAUGUUUCCAUGUCUUGGUUUCUGGCUCUGUCACCUUUGGGACCCGCUUCUAACCGUCUUCAACCUUGCGUUGAGACAACGUUCGAGCAUGUCUCCCUUCUCGGGAAGCUCCCUCGACCCCCACGAACCCUUGACCUCAAAUCGGGUGAGACUACCCGCUGAACUUAA